Molecule: ribosomal RNA, 393 nt
Filed under: uncultured bacterium
Lineage: Bacteria
Description: partial 16S ribosomal RNA
Rfam family: Bacterial small subunit ribosomal RNA
Source: RNAcentral
AUACGGAGGAUGCGAGCGUUAUCCGGAUUUAUUGGGUUUAAAGGGUGCGUAGGUGGUAGAUUAAGUCAGCGGUGAAAGUUUGUCGCUCAACGAUAAAAUUGCCGUUGAUACUGGUUUACUUGAGUAUAGUUGAAGUAGGCGGAAUGCGUGGUGUAGCGGUGAAAUGCUGAGAUAUCACGCAGAACUCCGAUUGCGAAGGCAGCUUACUAAGUUAUGACUGACACUGAAGCACGAAAGCGUUGGAAUCAAACAGGAUUAGAUAACCUGGUAGUCUUCGCAGUAAACGUUGAUUGCUAGCUGUUGGCGAUAUACAGUAAGUGGCUCAGCGAAAGUGUUAAGUAAUCCACCUGGGGACUAAGGCAGCAACGGUGAAACUCAAAUGAAUUGACGGGG